This 951-nucleotide long non-coding RNA is filed under the name Solanum tuberosum (potato). RNAcentral's name for it is "long non-coding RNA (STUB_LNC011198)". The record is from RNAcentral. Lineage: Eukaryota; Viridiplantae; Streptophyta; Magnoliopsida; Solanales; Solanaceae.
CAAUACAUAAAAUUUAAUACUAAAUUACAUUAUGCUUCUCAUGAACUUUUGGCUUAUAAACACCAAUACAUGUUUAUGUGUAACACACAAGCAUAAGAACUCACAAGAACAAUAAGGGUGAAGUUUAUAAGGGAACUCAUUUAAUCAAAAGUUUUUUUCCAAUGUUACUUGAAUUCUUCAAAAGUGUUGUUCGUUGUAUGUCAAAUUCUCUAAAAAUAAUAACUUUUUAGAUAAUUUGGCACGAAUGUACAACAUUCUUGAAGAGUUUAAGUAAUAUAAUAUUUAAUUUUAUUUGAUUGGAUGAUUUAACUUGCCUAAUUUCCAUAAAAAUGACAUAAAUAAGGGCAUAAACUUUUGAACACUAUAAUCCAUGCUUAUUUUCUUUGAUCAUUCUUGCAGAUUGAAAAGAAGAAGAAAAACUUGGGCUUCAUGAUCUUCUAAAGUAAACACGAUUUCCUACAAGGAGAGGAAGAUUUCAUGUUAGAUAUUCUACGAUCGUUAAGACAUAUUCAAAAUUCAAAAUUUAAAAUUCAGUCAAUAUAUGUAAUGUUAUCAUUGUAAUACCAACUACAUUUUGUAAAAAAUCAAGAAAAUAAACAAUAUAUGUUUGGACAAAAAAAAAAAAGCUUUAGAGAUUAUUUAUUUAUAAUUUAAUUUUUUUUAAUGAAAAUUUUAACUCCAUCACUGAAUAAUAAGCAUAGAAUUUCUAGAGAAGAGAAAGAACAUAAUUGUGAAGAUUAAUUAUUAGAGAAACUAAAUCCUAGUGAUCAACCAAAUAUCAUGUAUAUUGAUUAGAUAAAAACCCAACAAUUAGUAUUUUUAAAUAAAUAAAAGAGACUGAGGAAAAAUACCUGAAAUAGCUCAUUGUUGGCAAUUGGAGAAUUAAACAUUUUUGGAAUAAUCAAUAUUGACACACACACACUAUAUAGCUUUAUUUAUAGCACCUUCAAC